This 896-nucleotide long non-coding RNA is filed under the name Brachypodium distachyon (stiff brome). RNAcentral's name for it is "long non-coding RNA (BDIS_LNC004648)". Lineage: Eukaryota; Viridiplantae; Streptophyta; Magnoliopsida; Poales; Poaceae. The record is from RNAcentral.
CGCCGGCCGGAACCCUGGAAACCGGCCAGUCCCGCGCUGCCACGUGGCAGGGCUUUUAUUUUAUUUUAUUUUAUUUUAUUUUAUUUUCGGCCGAAGUGGAUAAUGCACUUUUGCAGAAAAGACCCUACAACUUCAAACCUUUAUAUCUUUCAAACCGUUUGUCCAAAAUUUGUGUUCCGCACCUUUCUGGAAUCGUCGUAGCGUGUAGAAUAUUUUGGCACGGUUUAUUUUCAGUUUUGGCCAACUUAGACAGUAGCUAUUUACAGAAGGGUUGAAUAUGGUUCAAAUUUCAAAUGAAUUGUUUCAAAAUAGUUUUGAGCAUGUUAUCUUGCUGUAAAAUUAUUUAAAGUUGUUCUCUAUCCAUUAGGACCAGAGAAGAAAUUAUUUUGUGUAUAAUCAUGGCAUGCAAGUUAAAUAUUGCUCUAUGUUACAAAAGCCGCACAAUCUUUUGUUUUAAACCCUACUCAUGUUUCUUGCAUAUUAAUUACCACUUUGAUGUUGUAUAAUCUAUCCAAAUCUUUUGAAAAACUUUUCAAAACAGAAACGAAGCUACUUACCUUAGAAGUAACCUUUGUGUGCAUCAGCAUAGCAUAUGCAUCAUGGCAUGGUUUUUGUAUUGUAUGUUGUGUUUAUGGUGUGUGUUCUUUUUAUUUUAGAUUGUGUGGAGUGUAAUCAUUGUUGUUGCGAAGAGUGCGAGAACUACCACAACCUUGCACAAGGCAAGUUCACUUUGAUCAUUCUCCUAAAUAUUUUUACUAUGCACUAGAUGUUUUAUUAGAUGCAUCAGGAAUAUUAUUCGUACUUCUAUGCUAGCUAUAAAUCCCAGGUAGUAUAGUUUACCCUCGCCAUUACCUUGCGACCAAAAUUGCCAUCGAUUGUAGUUGAAUGCUAGGCUA